Molecule: non-coding RNA, 498 nt
Organism: Drosophila melanogaster (fruit fly)
Lineage: Eukaryota; Metazoa; Arthropoda; Insecta; Diptera; Drosophilidae
Source: Ensembl
AGUUGUAGAAACGUUCUCAGCACUCAAAUUUCGCAUUCACAUUCUCAUUCGUCAAUUAGUUGCCGGCGCGAGCGAAUCGUGAGUGCGGAAAAAAGAAAAUCUUUUCAUCAGCUGGAAAACUGUUCUUCCCGAUCAAAACUGGGAUUCGGGAGAUUUUUGAAGCCCAAAAGCAGGGAACUCCUCACUGAUGGCCACGCGAGGGGCGAAUGUGAUUUGGUUUCGCCAUGGAUUGCGCCUCCAUGAUAAUCCCGCUCUAUUGGCCGCCCUCGCCGAUAAGGAUCAGGGUAUAGCCCUAAUUCCCGUUUUCAUAUUCGAUGGAGAGAGUGCAGGUAACCUUGAACUUACCUUGCACUUUCCUAAGUUAUUACUUCAAAACUUUUAUAUGAGAUAUGGAUAUCUCAUGGAGAUAUAUUUAAAAUAUUAAGAUAAUCUUAAAAUAAUUAAUAGAUAGCAAAACAUCAAAGAUAAAAUAUUAUAUCUAUAUAUAUUUGCUCAUAC